GUGAAUCAUCAAAUCUUUGAACGCAAAUUGCGCCUUUUUCGGAAGGCAUGUCUGAUUGAGGGCACCAUGGAACAAAUAAUGUGCAGUUCGUGUGCACACGUUGAGGAGCGUGCCAAAAUUAUGUAUUAUUAUUUAUGGUGGCGCAUAAUUAAACAGCGCGAUGCGUUUUUUCAGUUAGAGUGUAGUAAAAUGUUGUCUUGCUUGGGUUGUGAAAAGCGUGAUCGCGCAAAUGGGUGUGGCGAUGCUACUAACCCUGCUCCAAUGCCAC
RNAcentral lists this unclassified non-coding RNA (268 nucleotides) under Paraglomus sp. Its description in RNAcentral is "partial contains 5.8S ribosomal RNA and internal transcribed spacer 2". The stretch from base 1 to 65 matches the Rfam family "5.8S ribosomal RNA", at positions 84 to 154 of the family's 154-position model. Lineage: Eukaryota; Fungi; Glomeromycota; Glomeromycetes; Paraglomerales; Paraglomeraceae. The record is from RNAcentral.